GUGAGGAAUUUUCCGCAAUGGGCGAAAGUCUGACGGAGCAAUGCCGCGUGAAGGAUGAAGGCCUAUGGGUUGUAAACUUCUUUUCUUAGAGAAGAAUAUUGACGGUAUCUGAGGAAUAAGCAUCGGCUAACUCUGUGCCAGCAGCCGCGGUAAGACAGAGGAUGCAAGCGUUAUCCGGAAUGAUUGGGCGUAAAGCGUCUGUAGGUGGCUUCAAAAGUCUCCUGUCAAAGAUCAGGGCUUAACCCUGGGCCGGCAGGAGAAACUCUGAGGCUAGAGUUUGGUAGGGGCAGAGGGAAUUCCCGGUGGAGCGGUGAAAUGCGUAGAGAUCGGGAGGAACACCAAAGGCGAAAGCACUCUGCUGGGCCACAACUGACACUGAGAGACGAAAGCGAGGGGAGCAAAAGGGAUUAGAAACCCUUGUAGUCC
Molecule: ribosomal RNA, 426 nt
Filed under: uncultured bacterium
Lineage: Bacteria
Description: partial 16S ribosomal RNA
Rfam family: Bacterial small subunit ribosomal RNA
Source: RNAcentral